CAGUCGCCGCGGGAAUACGGAGGGUGCAAGCGUUAAUCGGAAUUACUGGGCGUAAAGCGCACGCAGGCGGUCUGUCAAGUCAGAUGUGAAAUCCCCGGGCUUAACCUGGGAACUGCAUUUGAAACUGGCAGGCUAGAGUCUUGUAGAGGGGGGUAGAAUUCCAGGUGUAGCGGUGAAAUGCGUAGAGAUCUGGAGGAAUACCGGUGGCGAAGGCGGCCCCCUGGACAAAGACUGACGCUCAGGUGCGAAAGCGUGGGGAGCAAACAGGAUUAGAUACCCCGGUAGUCCCUGUCUCUUAUAC
RNAcentral lists this ribosomal RNA (301 nucleotides) under uncultured bacterium. RNAcentral's name for it is "partial 16S ribosomal RNA". It matches the Rfam family "Bacterial small subunit ribosomal RNA", at positions 509 to 807 of the family's 1533-position model. The record is from RNAcentral.